AAUAGAUACCCCGGUAGUCCACGCCGUAAACGAUGAUAACUAGCUGUCCGGACUCAUAGAGUUUGGGUGGCGCAGCUAACGCAUUAAGUUAUCCGCCUGGGGAGUACGGUCGCAAGAUUAAAACUCAAAGGAAUUGACGGGGGCCUGCACAAGCGGUGGAGCAUGUGGUUUAAUUCGAAGCAACGCGCAGAACCUUACCAGCGUUUGACAUCCUGAUCGCGGAUUAGAGAGAUCUUUUCCUUCAGUUCGGCUGGAUCAGUGACAGGUGCUGCAUGGCUGUCGUCAGCCCGUGUCGUGAGAUGUUGGGUUAAGUCCCGCAACGAGCGCAACCCUCAUCCCUAGUUGCCAUCAUUCAGUUGGGCACUCUAAGGAAACUGCCGGUGAUAAGCCGGAGGAAGGUGGGGAUGACGUCAAGUCCUCAUGGCCCUUACGCGCUGGGCUACACACGUGCUACAAUGGCGGUGACAGUGGGCAGCAACCCCGGCGAGGGGUAGCUAAUCUCCAAAAGCCGUCUCAGUUCGGU
This 523-nucleotide ribosomal RNA is filed under the name uncultured bacterium. RNAcentral describes it as "bacterial SSU rRNA". It matches the Rfam family "Bacterial small subunit ribosomal RNA", at positions 777 to 1297 of the family's 1533-position model. The record is from RNAcentral.